This 334-nucleotide ribosomal RNA is filed under the name Clostridioides difficile. RNAcentral describes it as "bacterial SSU rRNA". It matches the Rfam family "Bacterial small subunit ribosomal RNA", at positions 197 to 551 of the family's 1533-position model. Lineage: Bacteria; Bacillati; Bacillota; Clostridia; Peptostreptococcales; Peptostreptococcaceae. The record is from RNAcentral.
AAUAUCAAAGGUGAGCUAGUACAGGAUGGACCCGCGUCUGAUUAGCUAGUUGGUAAGGUAACGGCUUACCAAGGCGACGAUCAGUAGCCGACCUGAGAGGGUGAUCGGCCACAUUGGAACUGAGACACGGUCCAAACUCCUACGGGAGGCAGCAGUGGGGAAUAUUGCACAAUGGGCGAAAGCCUGAUGCAGCAACGCCGCGUGAGGGAUGAAGGCCUUCGGGUCGUAAAACUCUGUCCUCAAGGAAGAUAAUGACGGUACUUGAGGAGGAAGCCCCGGCUAACUACGUGCCAGCAGCCGCGGUAAUACGUAGGGGGCUAGCGUUAUCCGGAUU